AUGGCGGCCGAGCAUGGCGCUGCGGCGGCGGCAGCGGACAGGGCUGGGGCGGAGCCUCCUCCCCCGGCGCCUAUGCCGGGGCUGGUGGCGUCGGUGGACGCGGCGGGGCAGAGGUCGCUGCCGACGCCGUUCCUGACCAAGACGUACCAGCUCGUCGAGGACCCGGCGGUGGACGACGUGAUCUCGUGGGGCGAGGACGGGUCGACGUUCGUGGUGUGGCGGCCGGCGGAGUUCGCCCGGGACCUGCUCCCCAAGUACUUCAAGCACAACAACUUCUCUAGCUUCGUGCGGCAGCUCAACACCUACGGAUUUAGGAAGAUCGUGCCGGACCGGUGGGAGUUCGCCAACGACUGCUUCCGGCGAGGCGAGAAGCGCCUGCUCUGCGACAUACACCGCCGGAAGGUGGUCCAAUCGGCGGGGCUUGCGGCUGCCGCUGCCGCCGCCGCGGCUGGGGCGGUGACGGUUGCCACCGCGGCGAUCCCGAUGGCGUUGCCGGUUACGCGCUCCGGCUCGCCGGAGCCGCAGCUCUCCUCCGAGGAGCAGGUCCUGUCGUCCAACUCAGGAUCCGCGGAGGAGCUCCCGCCGGCCGCACCGUCCGGCUCAGGCUCCGGCCUGGGCGGCGCCGCCGCCGGCUCCUCGUCCGGUGAUAUGGGCGAGGAGAACGACCGGCUGCGGCGGGAUAACGCGCGGUUGACCCGCGAGCUGGGGCAGAUGAAGAAGCUGUGCAACAACAUCGUGAGCCUCAUGUCCAAGUUCGCCUCGAGCCAGCAGCCGGACGGCGGCCCCGGGUCGCUGUCGUCCGUGGUGAACUGCUCGGGCGAGUCGGCCCUGGCCCCUCCGCCGCCGCUCCCCGCGGGGAUACUGGACCUGAUGCCAUCGUGCUCGGCGCUGGCCACGGCCGCCGGCCUCGCCGUCGACGGCGGGCCGGAGACGGACGCGAGGCUGUUUGGCGUCUCCAUAGGGCUCAAGCGAGCGCGAGACGAAGAAGAAGACGGCGAGGGCGAGGAGCUUCCUAACAGCAACGGCGACGGCGCGGACGUGAAGCCGGAGGAGGCAGCGAACCGGCGGCCCGACGGCGGCAGCGAGGAUCGGCAGUCGUGGCCGAUAUACCGGCCCAAGCCCGUGUACCGGGCCUGCAACGGGCAGGACGGGGCCGGGGCCGGUUCCGGGUCAGACCAGGACAGAUCCAACUCGAGAGAACCAUGCGUGGCGGCGGCGGUUGGGAACCACAGGCGUUCGCUGGAGAAGGCAGCGGCCAUGGGCAUGGCGCCCGGUGGCAGGGCCGGCGAGUGCAGGAUGUCGAACAGCGGCGGUGGCGGGGUGCUCUGCGUGGGUCAUACGCGCAGCGGCCGGCGGCAGGGCUGCUCCGCGUGGUGUACAAGGCGGCGGACUACAAUGUGGAGGCGGAGUGGAAACCGUGCUAGUGCUCCGCGGCUGCGCGGGAGGACGGAGAAGGGGGCAGCGCCGGCGCUGGGCCGAAGGACACUGUCUUUCGAGCCCCUGCGGACGGCGACAAUGGAGCCGCAGGUGGUGCGGCUGUCGGCGGCGGCGCAAGAUGCUGCUGCAGGAUUCCGGCACGAUAUACGUCCGUGCGUCGCUGCUGUCAGACGCCGUCCGGAAGUCUGGACCAGCUGCGGGGAGGCACUGUCUGCACAAGAUGCAGUGUACUGUUCUGAAUUUCAGUGGACAAAAUGCAGUGAAAUAUGUUAG
This 1710-nucleotide ribosomal RNA is filed under the name Triticum aestivum (bread wheat). Its description in RNAcentral is "partial small subunit ribosomal RNA". The record is from RNAcentral. Lineage: Eukaryota; Viridiplantae; Streptophyta; Magnoliopsida; Poales; Poaceae.